GUAAAGGAAAACAGUUAAAGGAAAGAAAAAACAUGAAGAUCUAAGUUAUUUUCGCGAUGAAACAAUUAAAGGCAAGAAAUAAAGGAAAUUAAUGAAGCAAUAAAGUCAUGAAAACAUCUGAUGGUAAAAAGCCUAAUGGUUUCCCCAGCAGCGCCGCCAUGCCGCCGACGCUCCCUUUUUUUCCAUUCAGAAGGAGAGUCCGAAAAAUCGGGUAUACCACAUUAUGGGAGGACAACUCUUCAUUCUAUUGCAAGAAUUGGGUUUUGGAUUUAGGGAGUCUCCACCUAAUGAUUAGUGCAUUAGGACACUAUAAAGAGAUGAAGAGUUUUGAAAUGAAGGUAAACUAGAGUCUGAUAAGGGCUUAGAGAUUAUCUCGAGAGGAAGGUGUUAGGCACCCUUCAAGAUCCACUAGUGUGGUUCCCGGCCAUGCUAUAAUUGUGACUUUAAGAAGAUAGAAGAAGCAAAUAAAGUAUGCAUCACAAAUAAGUUUAAAAUGUUUUAAAAAGGAAAAGAAGAUAGCAAUGGACAAUUUUAGAAAAAGGAGUUAAUUCAAAGAAACAGAAUUAAAUAAGAAAUUGCAAAUGAAAGAAAAGGAAAG
Molecule: long non-coding RNA, 598 nt
Filed under: Nicotiana benthamiana
Lineage: Eukaryota; Viridiplantae; Streptophyta; Magnoliopsida; Solanales; Solanaceae
Description: long non-coding RNA (NBEN_LNC017796)
Source: RNAcentral